RNAcentral lists this ribosomal RNA (253 nucleotides) under uncultured bacterium. RNAcentral's name for it is "partial 16S ribosomal RNA". It matches the Rfam family "Bacterial small subunit ribosomal RNA", at positions 524 to 776 of the family's 1533-position model. The record is from RNAcentral.
UACAGAGGGUGCAAGCGUUAAUCGGAAUUACUGGGCGUAAAGGGUGCGUAGGUGGUUAGAUAAGUUAGGUGUGAAAUCCCUGGGCUCAACCUGGGAAUUGCGCUUGAUACUGUUUGACUAGAGUGCUGUAGAGGGUGGCGGAAUUUCCGGUGUAGCGGUGAAAUGCGUAGAUAUCGGAAGGAACACCAGUGGCGAAGGCGGCCACCUGGACAGACACUGACACUGAGGCACGAAAGCGUGGGUAGCAAACAGG